CAGGCAGAGUGGUGAGGCUUUUGUUGAACUUGAAUCAGAAGAUGAUGUAAAAAUGGCCCUGAAAAAAGACAGGGAAAGCAUGGGACACCGGUACAUUGAGGUGUUCAAGUCCCACAGAACCAAGAUGGAUUGUGUGUUGAAGCACAGUGGUCCCAAGAGUGCUGACAGCGCCAACGAUGGCUUCGUCGGACAUCGAGGACUCCCAUUUGGAUUCACAAAGGAAGAAAUUGUCCAGUUCUUCUCACGGUUGGAAAUCAUGCCAAACGGGAUCACAUUACCUGUGGACCCUGAGGGCAAGAUAACAGGGGAAGCUUUUGUACAGUCUGCCUCCCAGGAGUUAGCUGAGAAGGCUCUGGGGAAGCACAAGGAGAGGAUAGGGCACAGAUAUAUAGAAGUGUUCAAGAGCAGUCAGGAGGAAGUUAGGUCAUACUCUGAUCUCCCUCUAAAGUUCUUGUCUGUGCAGCGGCCAGGGCCCUGUGACUGCCCUGGCACAGUUAGGAGAUACAUUGGUAGAAGCAAGCCGGCCUGGAUAGGAUGUAGCCUGGUGCCUACAGUGAAGGCUACAGUGGCUAUAAAAAGUACAGAAGCCUCAGCGAUGGCUACGGCUUCACCACUGACCUAUUUGGAAGAGACCUCAGCUACUGUCUCUCUGGGAUGUAUGACCACAGAUAUGGAGAUGGUGAGUUUGCAGUGCAGAGCACCACUGGGCACUGCACCACAUGAAGGGGCUGCCAUACAUAGAGACGUGAGAAUGACAUUUACAACUUCUUCUCUCCACUCAACCCUGUGAGAAUGCAUAUCGAGAUUGGCCCAGAUGGAAGAGUGACCAGCCAAGCAGAUGUAGAGUUUGCCACUCACGAAGAGGCUGUGGCAACAAUGUCGAAAGACAGGACUAACAUGCAGCACAGAUUCAUAGAGCUCUUCUUGAAUUCAACAACAGGGGCCAGCAGUGCAGCAUACAGCAGCCAGGUGAUGCAAGGCAUGGCGUGUCAGCAGCCCAGGCCACUUACAGUGGGUUGGAGAGCCAGUCAGUCAGUGGCUGCUACGGGGCUGCCUACAGCGGGCAGUACAGCAUGGGUGGGUACGACUAGUUUUGUAGGAACAUUUAACUUUUUUCAAUCAAAUUUUCACAGGCAGCCAACAAGCAAUGAAGAGCAGUUAUAACUCUAGAGGAAGCUGUGGGGACCCGUUUUGCAGCAUGAGUUUGUGAAAUCUGGAUCAAAAAAAUUACCUCUUCAGUGUUUUCUCAUGCAAACUUUUCUUCUAGCAUGUGAUAUUGAGUAAACUAAAACUAUUUUCAGCUUUUC
Otolemur garnettii (small-eared galago) is the source of this 1307-nucleotide RNA transcript. It is a transcript of the gene named heterogeneous nuclear ribonucleoprotein F-like, with no coding region annotated. NCBI's taxonomy places the organism in Eukaryota, Metazoa, Chordata, Mammalia, Primates, Galagidae. The record is from RefSeq and is a predicted model, not a curated record. The transcript has a single exon.